GGGAGAUGAAGAACUAGCAAAGAAUACCAGUCAAAAGGUUUUGCGAAUAAGACCUUUAUGAUUGGGAUCCAGAGACUGGAUAUAUAGCUCCCAAACUGACCUUAAAUUUGAAAUUCAAUGUGAAUUCUCAUAUUAGUGAAUAACCCGGUUUUAUACCCCAUUUUCUGUAGAGUGAGAAACAGAGUAGCAAAUCACCAAGGUGUGCUUGUCUGGUGAAAUCAAGGUAUGUUGCUAUAAAACACAAACAGUCAGUGGCACUGAAAUGUGUAAAGGGACUCAAUAUAUGUUGGACUUUCUGUCCAGAUUUCCAUUAUUGGUGAGCAGCCCCCAAAACAAAAAAGUAAAUCAGCCCCUUCCUUCCCACAUUUCAGACAUUUACAAGAGUCCUUGUUAGAAGCUAGGAG
Molecule: non-coding RNA, 404 nt
Organism: Pelobates cultripes (western spadefoot toad)
Lineage: Eukaryota; Metazoa; Chordata; Amphibia; Anura; Pelobatidae
Source: the annotation of a GenBank genome assembly